Armigeres subalbatus is the source of this 1935-nucleotide RNA transcript. It is a transcript of the gene named DDRGK domain-containing protein 1, with no coding region annotated. The record is from RefSeq and is a predicted model, not a curated record. NCBI's taxonomy places the organism in Eukaryota, Metazoa, Arthropoda, Insecta, Diptera, Culicidae. The transcript is spliced from 6 exons.
AGAUGCAAAACAAAACAUCAUAAAAACAAAAAUAAAGACAUCGACACGAGUACACUCAAUAAUUCAAUCAUUUAGCAAGUUUUUUUUUCCAAAAUGGAUUUAUUUCUACUUAGCGGAAUUGCUAUUGCCCUUUUGGUGGUGCUAUUAACAUUAUUAUUUUUUGCUAAAGGAAAAGGAAAAUCUGUUGAUGGCACUGAUCCCCUAGGUCAGGAGGGGCGUGAGGCCAAUGCUCCACCCCGUCGGGCUCAGGUAGUCCGAAAUCAGAGGAAUCGUGCCCGGGUAGCCGCAGUGGCGCCUGCUGCUGCCGAUGCCGCGGAUUACGACGACGACGAUGAUGAAAUUCCUCACGCGGCGCAAGAUCUGGCAGCCGAGAAAAUGGGUGCAAAAAAGCGUGCUAAAUUGGAAGCUAAGGCGGAGAAGAAGGCUAUGCGGGAGCAGGAGAUAAAAUUGCGGGAAGACCAGAAGAAGAAAGAUGCGUUGGCGGAGGAGGAACGCAAACGGCAGGAUGAACUAGCGGCUGAGGAAGAACGGAAAAUUGAAGAAGCCGAGAGGAAAGCGCGAGAAGAAAAGGAAAGGAAGGAACAUGAAGAAUAUCUGAAGAUGAAAGAAGCCUUCAGUGUCGAAGAGGAAGGGUUUGAACAAGAGGAAGACAAUGAAAAGCAGAAUAUGCUUCAGGAAUUUAUUAACUUUGUAAAGGAAAACAAAGUGGUCGUUCUGGAAGAUUUAGCGGUGCAUUUCAAGCUUAAAACGCAAGCUGCCAUCGAUAGGAUAAUUGAGUUACAGAAGGAAGGACGUUUAAGCGGAGUCAUCGAUGAUCGAGGAAAGUUCAUCUACAUUUCCGAGGCUGAACUAAACGCUGUUGCCAAGUUUAUCAAACAACGCGGUCGGGUAUCGAUUACGGAACUGGCAGAUAACAGCAAUAGCUUGAUUAAUUUGACACCAAUUGUUGCCGAUGUUGUGGAAGCAGUAUAACAGGGAUUCGAUUUCGUCUGUUCAUUUGUCAGAUGAUCAAAACAAGCACCAAACACAAAAUCACACGAUUAUUUACCGAUAAAAUAAAGACAUAAUAGCCGCGAUUUAAUUGUUCAAUAAAUCUGGCGACGAAAAUAAGUAGUCUAUGAAAAUCGAUACCGUCGGUGCAAAAAUAGGUCGAUUUGGUAGGCAACCGAAAAGGCCUAUUGCGGGCCUGUUCAGCAGCGGUUGUAAACAAAAGUGCAGUCUCGGCAGUGUCACAUGAAAAGGCUUAUUAUGAUUACCGUGUGAAAACCAAAAAUCAAAAAAAUCAAGCAAAGAAAAAAAAUGCUUUGAUUUUUAUUGCAAAUCGGUUUACCUAUAAUAUAUAUCUGGAUAUAUAUGAGUUUCUGGCUCGCAUGAUCCCAAACGAAACGAACCUCGUAGUGCACAAGAAUUGGCAGUAAUAAUGCUGCAAGGAUUGUUUACAUUCGCUUCCGCACUGCUCAUCGGAGCAGUGACCGUCGUUGGAAUCUACUACACCGUAAACAGGAUCCUCUACGAACAAACUGACCAUCGUGCAGAGGACCAUUAUCCGCCGGCAGCAGGGAACCAUUGCCCUAAAAGUUGGGACGGUUAUGGAGACAAUUUGGAUUCAGUCAUCUGCACUAUUUGUCUAUCUUCCGUUCAAUACGGUGGUGCCACAACGAAGCUGCCCUGUGCUCAUCUGUUCCAUAGAGAAUGCGUGAAUAUAUUGCUUAAGCACUCAAAAGAGUGCCCGAAUUGUAGAAAGCCCAUUGAAGCCUGAAUUGAUUGCAUCUUACGACUAUGGGGGUGAGUGAUUAGCGAUUAGAAUUAUAUCACACCGGUAAUCUAAAUUGUAGAAAACAGCGAAGCAAUAAUUAUGACAGUUAGGUGGUAAUCAUUUGAUUUUAGUAUUGAUUAAGUUUUAUUCGUAAAAUACAUACAAAAAAUAAUGAAUAA